AGUUUGAUAGGGUAGUGGAUACACUCAGGGCUGUCAAUCCUUCGUCCCGGGUUAGAACCCCGGUUGUAGUC
This is a non-coding RNA of Gymnothorax javanicus (giant moray), 71 nucleotides long. The record is from the annotation of a GenBank genome assembly. Lineage: Eukaryota; Metazoa; Chordata; Actinopteri; Anguilliformes; Muraenidae.